AGAAGCUUAGGAUAACAUCUAAACCAAGGACCUUCAAAGCCCAAAAUAGAGAAGAAAAUACUCUAGCUUCUG
RNAcentral lists this transfer RNA (72 nucleotides) under Urostrophus vautieri. RNAcentral describes it as "tRNA-Trp". The record is from RNAcentral. Lineage: Eukaryota; Metazoa; Chordata; Lepidosauria; Squamata; Leiosauridae.